Molecule: ribosomal RNA, 406 nt
Filed under: uncultured bacterium
Lineage: Bacteria
Description: partial 16S ribosomal RNA
Rfam family: Bacterial small subunit ribosomal RNA
Source: RNAcentral
AUUGAACGCUGGCGGCAGGCCUAACACAUGCAAGUCGAGCGAGCGGCGGACGGGUGAGUAAUGUAUGGGGAUCUGCCCGAUAGAGGGGGAUAACUACUGGCAACGGUAGCUAAUACCGCAUACUAUCGGAUGAACCCAUAUGGGAUUAGCUAGUAGGUGAGGUAAUGGCUCACCUAGGCGACGGGCCCUAGCUGGUCUGAGAGGAUGAUCAGCAACACUGGGACUGAGAAACGGUCGAGACUACGACGGGGGGCAGCAGUGGGGAAUAUUGCACAAUGGGAGCAAUCCUGAUGCAGCAAUGCCGCGUGGAUGAAGAAGGCCUUCGGGUUGUAAAGUACUUUCAGCGGGGAGGCGUUACCCGAAGAAGAGGCACCGGCUAACUCCGUGCCAGCAGCCGCGGUAAUUC